RNAcentral lists this ribosomal RNA (433 nucleotides) under uncultured bacterium. RNAcentral's name for it is "partial 16S ribosomal RNA". It matches the Rfam family "Bacterial small subunit ribosomal RNA", at positions 29 to 507 of the family's 1533-position model. The record is from RNAcentral.
AACGAACGCUGGCGGCAUGCCUAACACAUGCAAGUCGAACGAGACCUUCGGGUCUAGUGGCGCACGGGCGCGUAACGCGUGGGAACCUGCCUUUAGGUUCGGAAUAACUCAGAGAAAUUUGAGCUAAUACCGGAUGAUGUCUUCGGACCAAAGAUUUAUCGCCUUUAGAUGGGCCCGCGUUGGAUUAGCUAGUUGGUGGGGUAAAGGCCUACCAAGGCGACGAUCCAUAGCUGGUCUGAGAGGAUGAUCAGCCACACUGGGACUGAGACACGGCCCAGACUCCUACGGGAGGCAGCAGUGGGGAAUAUUGGACAAUGGGCGAAGGCCUGAUCCAGCAAUGCCGCGUGAGUGAUGAAGGCCUUAGGGUUGUAAAGCUCUUUUACCCGAGAUGAUAAUGACAGUAUCGGGAGAAUAAGCUCCGGCUAACUCCGUG